CAGUAGCCGCGGUAAUACGGAGGGGGCUAGCGUUGUUCGGAAUUACUGGGCGUAAAGCGCACGUAGGCGGCUUGGUAAGUUAGAGGUGAAAGCCUGGAGCUCAACUCCAGAAUUGCCUUUAAGACUGCCGAGCUAGCAGGUGAGAGAGGUAAGUGGAAUUCCGAGUGUAGAGGUGAAAUUCGUAGAUAUUCGAAAGAACACCAGUGGCGAAGGCGGCUUACUGGCUCAUACUGGACGCUGAGGUGCGAAAGCGUGGGGAGCAAACAGGAUUAGAUACCCCGGUAGUCCCUGUCUCUUAUAC
This 301-nucleotide ribosomal RNA is filed under the name uncultured bacterium. Its description in RNAcentral is "partial 16S ribosomal RNA". It matches the Rfam family "Bacterial small subunit ribosomal RNA", at positions 509 to 807 of the family's 1533-position model. The record is from RNAcentral.